GCCCGGUUAGCUCAGCUGGUUAGAGCGUCGUACUAAUAUCGCGGAAUUGUCUGCAAUAUUGAGUGAUGCGAAGGUCAACAGUUCAAUCCUGUUACUGGGCA
Non-coding RNA from Thermothielavioides terrestris NRRL 8126, 101 nucleotides. Lineage: Eukaryota; Fungi; Ascomycota; Sordariomycetes; Sordariales; Chaetomiaceae. The record is from the annotation of a RefSeq genome assembly.